CAGGCUUAACACAUGCAAGUCGAGGGGCAGCAUGGUCUUUGCUUGCUAAGGCCGAUGGCGACCGGCGCACGGGUGAGUAACACGUAUCCAACCUGCCGUCUACUCUUGGACAGCCUUCUGAAAGGAAGAUUAAUACAAGAUGGCAUCAUGAGUCCACAUGUUCACAUGAUUAAAGGUAUUCCGGUAGACGAUGGGGAUGCGUUCCAUUAGAUAGUAGGCGGGGUAACGGCCCACCUAGUCUUCGAUGGAUAGGGGUUCUGAGAGGAAGGUCCCCCACAUUGGAACUGAGACACGGUCCAAACUCCUACGGGAGGCAGCAGUGAGGAAUAUUGGUCAAUGGGCGAGAGCCUGAACCAGCCAAGUAGCGUGAAGGAUGACUGCCCUAUGGGUUGUAAACUUCUUUUAUAAAGGAAUAAAGUCGGGUAUGGAUACCCGUUUGCAUGUACUUUAUGAAUAAGGAUCGGCUAACUCCGUGCCAGCAGCCGCGGUAAUACGGAGGAUCCGAGCGUUAUCCGGAUUUAUUGGGUUUAAAGGGAGCGUAGAUGGAUGUUUAAGUCAGUUGUGAAAGUUUGCGGCUCAACCGUAAAAUUGCAGUUGAUACUGGAUAUCUUGAGUGCAGUUGAGGCAGGCGGAAUUCGUGGUGUAGCGGUGAAAUGCUUAGAUAUCACGAAGAACUCCGAUUGCGAAGGCAGCCUGCUAAGCUGCAACUGACAUUGAGGCUCGAAAGUGUGGGUAUCAAACAGGAUUAGAUACCCUGGUAGUCCACACGGUAAACGAUGAAUACUCGCUGUUUGCGAUAUACAGCAAGCGGCCAAGCGAAAGCGUUAAGUAUUCCACCUGGGGAGUACGCCGGCAACGGUGAAACUCAAAGGAAUUGACGGGGGCCCGCACAAGCGGAGGAACAUGUGGUUUAAUUCGAUGAUACGCGAGGAACCUUACCCGGGCUUAAAUUGCAGAUGAAUUACGGUGAAAGCCGUAAGCCGCAAGGCAUCUGUGAAGGUGCUGCAUGGUUGUCGUCAGCUCGUGCCGUGAGGUGUCGGCUUAAGUGCCAUAACGAGCGCAACCCUUGUUGUCAGUUACUAACAGGUUCCGCUGAGGACUCUGACAAGACUGCCAUCGUAAGAUGUGAGGAAGGUGGGGAUGACGUCAAAUCAGCACGGCCCUUACGUCCGGGGCUACACACGUGUUACAAUGGGGGGUACAGAGGGCCGCUACCACGCGAGUGGAUGCCAAUCCCAAAAACCUCUCUCAGUUCGGACUGGAGUCUGCAACCCGACUCCACGAAGCUGGAUUCGCUAGUAAUCGCGCAUCAGCCACGGCGCGGUGAAUACGUUCCCGGGCCUUGUACACACCGCCCGUCAAGCCAUGGGAGCCGGGGGUACCUGAAGUGCGUAACCGCGAGGAGCGCCCUAGGGUAAAACUGGUGACUGGG
RNAcentral lists this ribosomal RNA (1432 nucleotides) under uncultured bacterium. RNAcentral's name for it is "16S ribosomal RNA". It matches the Rfam family "Bacterial small subunit ribosomal RNA". The record is from RNAcentral.